RNAcentral lists this ribosomal RNA (465 nucleotides) under uncultured bacterium. RNAcentral describes it as "bacterial SSU rRNA". It matches the Rfam family "Bacterial small subunit ribosomal RNA", at positions 337 to 794 of the family's 1533-position model. The record is from RNAcentral.
GCCUACGGGAGGCAGCAGUCGAGAAUUUUUCUCAAUGGGGGAAACCCUGAAGGAGCGACGCCGCGUGGAGGAUGAAGGUUUUCGGAUUGUAAACUCCUGUCAUGAGGGAGCAAACUUGCGGGGAGUAACUGCCCUGCAAUUGAUAGUACCUCAAGAGGAAGGGACGGCUAACUCUGUGCCAGCAGCCGCGGUAAUACAGAGGUCCCAAGCGUUGUUCGGAUUCAUUGGGCGUAAAGGGUGCGUAGGCUGCGCCGUAAGUCGGAUGUGAAAUCCCGGGGCUCAACCCUGGAACUGCAUUCGAUACUGCGGUGCUAGAGGACUCUAGAGGAAACUGGAAUUCACGGUGUAGCAGUGAAAUGCGUAGAUAUCGUGAGGAAGACCAGUGGCGAAGGCGGGUUUCUGGAGAGUUCCUGACGCUGAGGCACGAAGGCCAGGGGAGCAAACGGGAUUAGAUACCCCGGUAGU